UACGUAGGGGGCGAGCGUUGUCCGGAGUUACUGGGCGUAAAGCGUGCGCAGGCGGUUUUGUAAGCCAGAUGUGAAAUCCCCGGGCUUAACCUGGGAACUGCGUUUGAAACUACAAAGCUAGAGUGUGACAGAGGGGGGUGGAAUUCCACGUGUAGCAGUGAAAUGCGUAGAGAUGUGGAGGAACACCGAUGGCGAAGGCAGCCCCCUGGGUUAACACUGACGCUCAGGCACGAAAGCGUGGGGAGCAAACAGG
Molecule: ribosomal RNA, 253 nt
Filed under: uncultured bacterium
Lineage: Bacteria
Description: partial 16S ribosomal RNA
Rfam family: Bacterial small subunit ribosomal RNA
Source: RNAcentral